AAAUUAACUGGUCAAGUGUGUCAGUGACUGCACAUUGGUUUCUGUUCUCUGGCUAUUUGCAAAACCUCUCCCACCCUUGUGUUUCACUCCACCACCAACCCCAGGUAAAAAAGUCUCCCUCUCUUCCACUCACACCCAUAGCGGGAGAGACCUCAUGCAGAUUUGCAUUGUUUUGGAGUAAGAAUUCAAUGCAGCAGCUUAAUUUUUCUGUAUUGCAGUGUUUAUAGGCUUCUUGUGUGUUAAACUUGAUUUCAUAAAUUAAAAACAAUGGUCAGAG
This 277-nucleotide long non-coding RNA is filed under the name Homo sapiens (human). Its description in RNAcentral is "non-protein coding lnc-IFI27L2-3:3". The record is from RNAcentral. Lineage: Eukaryota; Metazoa; Chordata; Mammalia; Primates; Hominidae.